Molecule: ribosomal RNA, 500 nt
Filed under: uncultured bacterium
Lineage: Bacteria
Description: partial 16S ribosomal RNA
Rfam family: Bacterial small subunit ribosomal RNA
Source: RNAcentral
AUUGAACGCUGGCGGAAUGCUUUACACAUGCAAGUCGAACGGCAGCACGGGGGCAACCCUGGUGGCGAGUGGCGAACGGGUGAGUAAUACAUCGGAACGUGCCCAGUCAUGGGGGAUAACGUAGCGAAAGUUACGCCAAUACCGCAUACGAUCUACGGAUGAAAGCGGGGGACCGUAAGGCCUCGCGCGAUUGGAGCGGCCGAUGUCAGAUUAGGUAGUUGGUGAGGUAAAGGCUCACCAAGCCGACGAUCUGUAGCUGGUCUGAGAGGACGACCAGCCACGCUGGGACCGAGUCAGGGCCCAGACGCCUCCGGGAGGCAGCAUGGGGGAAUUUUGGACAAUGGGCGCAAGCCUGAUCCAGCCAUUCCGCAUGCAGGACGAAGGCCUUCGGGUUGUAAACUGCUUUUGUACGGAACGAAAAGGCUCUGGUUAAUACCGGGGGCUCAUGACGGUACCGUAAGAAUAAGCACCGGCUAACUACGUGCCAGCAGCCGCCGUAA